This 319-nucleotide ribosomal RNA is filed under the name uncultured eukaryote. RNAcentral's name for it is "partial 18S ribosomal RNA". It matches the Rfam family "Eukaryotic small subunit ribosomal RNA", at positions 1470 to 1796 of the family's 1831-position model. The record is from RNAcentral.
CCCUUAGAUGUUCUGGGCUGCACGCGUACUACAAUGGAACUCGCAUCGAGUCGCGAAACUGAGAAGUAAGCGAAUCUUGGAAUGUGUUCCGUGACCGGGACAGUUGAUUGCAAUUAUUCAACUCGAACGAGGAAUUCCUUGUAAUCGUGAUUCAUCAUAUCGCGAUGAAUACGUCCCUGCCCUUUGUACACACCGCCCGUCGCUCCUACCGAUUGAGUGCUCAGGUGAAUAAUUCGGACUGCAGCAGUGUUUGGAUCCCGAACGCUGCAGCGGAAAGUUUAGUGAACCUUAUCACUUAGAGGAAGGAGAAGUCGUAACA